This 9875-nucleotide long non-coding RNA is filed under the name Homo sapiens (human). RNAcentral describes it as "HSALNT0291125". The record is from RNAcentral. Lineage: Eukaryota; Metazoa; Chordata; Mammalia; Primates; Hominidae.
CUCGAUGACGCUGUAGCUCUCCACGUAAUCGACGUGUUCGUCCUGCGGCUCGCUGGCGAUCUGCCGCAGCGUGGCCUUGUCCACGCUGCCCACUCCGAUGGCGAACAGCUCGACGCCGCUGGCCCGGGCCCGCGCAGACACGUCCUGCACGCUGUCCUGGGGCCUCCCGUCUGUCACCACGAUGACCACCUGCGACACGCGGGGCGGUGUGACACCGGGCUCCCGGAAGCCCACGGGACUGUCCAGGAGAGGAGGCUGAGGCCCGGAGAGGCGGGAGGACUGCCGGGUCGCACAGCCAGGCGGCACCCGGGGGAAGAGGACCCGGCUGGCCGAAGAGGAGACCCGUUUCCUCUGACUGAGAGACGUGGCUGGGGGGCUUUCCAUCUGCUUCGCCUCCCUCGGGCAGGCAGCUCUGAGAUGCCCGGAGGGAUGUGAUGCCCCAUCGCCAAAUUGGGGUCUCUAAGCUAUGAAAUGGCCACCUCACGGGGCAUCAUGGGAAUCAAAGUGUCUGCAGGCAAAGCUCAUAACUCCGAGCGGGAGCCUCCAAACAGCAGCAUCCUAGCAGGGUGGCGUGCACGUACCUUGCUGAUGUCAGGGGACCUGGAACGACCACCCUCUGCAUCGCCGAAGGCUUUGGUGAUAGCGAACUGGAUGGCCAGGCCGGUCAUGGUGCCUGUGGACAGCGGCUGGAUACGGCGCACAGCCUGCAGCAGUGCGGCCUUGGAGACAUGAGCCCGCAGCGAGAACUCCUGCUUCACGGUGCUGGCAUAGUUGACCAUGCCCACCCGGGUGGCAUUGGGCCCCACGUCCAGCGACUCGAUGACCUGGGACAGGAAUACCUUCACUUUCUCAAAUUCAACAGGCCGAACGCUGCGAGAGCUGUCGACAACAAACACCAGGUCUGUGGGCCGCGUCCGGCAGAGAUGGCCUGGGAGUGGGGCAGGAGGGGUAAGGCAGAGAGCAGAGACACAGGUCAGGGACUGGGCCUGAACACACAGAGUGCGGCUUCUUAGAUCCAGGUGCGAGGCCUCGGGCCCAGUAGGCUGCAAACUUCAGCUGGGCAGCUGAGCCCUUUUAUCAACAUGCAGACACCAGCAAGCAACUUGCCAAAGGCCCCCUGCUCAGCCCAUGGGGAACACAGAGGGCCAAGCCUGGCCUUGGGCCAUUUGCUUCACUUCUCUGAGCCUCAGUUUCCUCAUCUGAGCAGUGAGCUAGCAAUCCCUCCUUACAGGAUGUUUUGAGGAGCCAGCAGGGGGCCAGGCAAGCAAUGAGUAUUCCAGGGGUGGCAAAGGACCCUGCGGCCUUGAAAACACAUUUAGGUUUCAGCCCAGACUUGCUGCCAGAAACAAGGGCAGCUAUUUCUUCUAGCUGGGCAGGAGGGCACCAAGGAUGGGCCCUCCAGGCAUGGGCACAGGCUUGAGAGCCAAAGCAGUGCCCGUCAACAUGGCCUCUUUCAUCUGAGCAUCAAAGCAAAUCACCAAAGUGGAACCAGUUUCCCUCAGCCUGGCAGCGCCUGCUGGCGGGUUGCCAAAGACAGGGAAAAGGAGCAGGAAUUCCUGGUGGCCACCUCGGCAGCCUGAUCAGGUGCACACCAAGACACACCCCCGAGGAGCAAUGUCCUCCAGAGACCCAAGAAGGCAGCACCCUGUGCUGGGAAGUAUGCAGGGUCAGAGUGAGUUCAGGCCUGGGUUCAAAUCCUGGCUCAGCCACUCUGUGGGGCCCUGGGCAGAUCAUUGCACCUUUCUGAGCCUCCGUGAUCUCACAUGUCCAGUGGAGAGAAUAAGGCUACUGUCACUGGCCUGGGCCUGCAGUCAGGAAGGUCUCACUACAAAGGCCCUUCCCUCCCCAUCCCAUGCGGAGUCUGAACUGAGCAGAGCCAAUCCCAAAGAGGAAAGGGGAAACGUGCAGGGCCGUCCCAACCCCCAAGUCACAGUAACUCACAGUGCCCUAGACUGGGGCUCUGGACAUCAGAGUUCCUCAGGAGACCUUAGAAAUCACCAUGCAGCAGGCUCCCUGCUGUCUACUCGCUAAGGCUACAAAUGGGUAAACUGAGACCCAAAGAGGGAAAGGGAAUUGGCCACACCGUACAGCAGUAGAUCAAUAACCUAGAGGCUCUGGCGCUAUCUCACUGUGUGGUCUUAGGCCCUCACUGACCUCAGUUUCCCCAUCUGUACAGGAAGAAUGGGCAUUCCAGGACUCAGUGCCCAAACCUGAAACUCUGGGGGGUGUUAUUGCCCCCAGGGAGCCCAAGGCUGGAAGGACCUGCAAAGGGGGCAUGAGCUCUUGGCAUCCCAGGUCUGCUGUCAUCAAAGAGCCAUGGGCUCAGCCCUGGGCUUGGUGCAGCUCCAGACGUCAGCCAGCUCUCUGAGUAGCUUCUGCUCCCCAGAGACCUGGAAGACCAAGGUCCCUGCCUCAUGCAUGGUCCCUGAGGGCUGAGGAGCACCCCUGCCCUGACCCUUAUAAGCACCAUGGUCCCUGUCUGCUCCUGCACCAGCCCACUGCCCACCACUGCCGCCCUGCUCCCUUCCCCAUCCUGGAUCCCGUGUGCUCCCUGCCAUAUCGGUACCCAGCCCCCAGUGCUGAGGGUCAGGGCCCACUAGCUCAGUAGCCCCCAUCUCACGCAAGCCCCCUCACCUCUGGACUGGGGGGCGAGGCCAGGGCUGCACAGGGCCUGGAGCAGCAGCAGCAGGCUGCAGAGCAUGAGGCUAGUGCCAGAGAGGACCCUCAUAGUUCUGGCAGCACGGGCAGCAGCCGGCACGGUUGUGGGACCAGUGGGGUCCAGGUCUUAUCAACCCCACUGCCCGCCCAGCCUUUGGGUCAGGUGGCCCCCAACUGACGACUGACGUGGGGGCAGCCCGCCCUGGCCCCCAGCCCCCCCAAAGGGCGGGGCUUGGGCUGAAUGGAGGUGUGUGUGCCCUGAGAGGGCGGGAGAGCCUGGCCCAGGCUUCAGAGGCCCCUCUGACCACAAGGGCUCCUUUGCUUGCAGAAGCAACUAGAGCGGCAGCUGGAAUUUGGGAAAUCUCAGGUGGGUGGGGGGUGGCUCUUCCAGGGGCUGGAGCCCGCGCUGCCUUGAAGCUCCACCCCAAGCCUAGGCAUACCUGAGUCCAAUGGCCCGGCCCAGCCCUGUCCUGCACCUUCAUCCCACACCCAAAUCCUUCCCCCACUCACAACCCCAAGUUUCUCAUUAAAUUCACUUCCCCUUCCCCAGCCUCACUGUGCCCUGCUCUCCGCACACGCCCUGCUCUCCAGCUACCCCUGGAUUCUCCUCGAAGGCCUCCAGGCCAUCACACAUGCAGGGCCAUCUGCCCAGAAUCCUUUCCUCUCACUAACUCUCUGCCUUGUAGAAUCUUUCAAGGUCAUAAUUAGGGCUAACAUGUACCUUCACUGUUAGUAUGGGCAGGGCAGUGGAGACCAUGGUUAAGAGCACAGACUUGGGAGCCAGGUUACCUGGGUUUGCUAUACCAGCAAACCACCUGUGUGACCAUGGGCAAGUGACUUCACCUCUCAUGUCUCAGAUUGCUCAUCUGGAAACUAGGGAUGGUAAUAGCGCCUCCUAGGGUUGAUUCAAGGAGCAAAGGAGUUAGAUGAGGUUUCUCAGUUAAUCCUCUUGACAACUUUUUAAAGCAGCUACUGUUAAAGAACAGAGAGGUAAAAUAACUUGUCUGAAGUUACACAGCUAAGAAGUGUUAUUGCCAGGAUAGAGCCCCAGGCCCGGCUCUCAGCCAUGCUGCUGUCUCAGUGUAGCUUGAUGUAGGUGGCUUCUCCCUGCCCAUCUCUUCCCCCUGUGGGUCCCUGCUUGGCCCACCUCACCUGUCAGCCAGUGGAUUCAACUCUGCAUCAGGCCCAGCACAGAGAAGGCAAAGAUAAAGCCUUCUAAACAAAGUAACAUCAGCAGGAACGAUCCCCUUCUUUGCAUUUGGGUCAAGUAGUUCAUGAGAUAGAGCAGAAAGAGCAUGGGCUUGGCUACCUGAGAGAUCCAGGUUCAAAGCCACUUCUGCUCCUAACUGGCUGUGUGACCUGGAGCUGGUGACUUAACCUCUCUGAGCCUCAGCUUGCCAUGGUGCAGUGGGAAUGGUCGUUCUUGAUCUGCCUGCCCCAUGUGAGGGGCAAGAGGGGGACAGAAGUGGAAAUGGAGUUAAAGGAUUGUCAUUGCUCCAGGAGGCAGAAUCCUAAGACUUGGGACCUAUGCACUUCACUCUGUGUAAAUUAUACCUCAAUAAAAGGAAAUGUACAGACAAAAAGCGACUGCUGGGUGCAGCAGACCCAACUCACCGCUACCACACUCUUUAGCAAUAAUUAUAACAAUCCCUUCCACCCUUGACAUGGCAGUUACUCAUUCUAUCACUCUAUCUCAUUUGCUCACCCAACAAACCUGUGAAGUCAGCAGAUUUGAGUCUCUUGGCCCAUUUGUCAGAUGGAGAAACUGAGGCCCAGAGAGGUUCACUGACUUACCCGAAGCCACCAGCCAGUUUAGGGGCAGAGCCAAGCCUAAAGCUCAGGCCUCACUCCCCUUUGCACCAGUGUUAGAGAAGGAGGAGGUUAAGAGCAUUGCCUUCUGACUUUUUCCCCUUAUAUUUCAUGUGUGCCUAAUUCACUGCCCUCCCCAAUUCCAAAAACCACUUGAAGCUGCUGAUUCCUUUUUCUGCUACAACUUUGAAGUCGAAUUCUUCUCCAGAGAUGCUGCAAGGUGUGAUGAUGGUGGUGCCUCUCCCUUCCCAAAAUGGUGUAAUUAAGGUGUUACCUGUCUCCCCAAGGACGUGAGCUCCCUCCGAGCAGGGGGCUUGCCCGUCUCAGUCACCACUGAAUCCCUGGGACCCAGCAUGGUGCCUGGCACAGGAUCUCUGGUAAGCAAAUGAAGGAAUGAAUGAAAACUAACUACGAACCUGUUCCAUUUCCCUAUAAACCACCCAGGGUCACACAAGGGCCAUCCACGGUGACCAGCGGUGAGAAACGCAAUGCUGUCCUCGUGCCAUGCUGGAGGUGAACGAGGAGAACGUGAGCUGGGGUCUCCUCACCAACUGCUCCCCCCACCCCAACCCCCCUGACGGCCAGGGCUGUGUCCAGGGCUCAGGGCACAAGGCUCCGUUAGCUGGGCAGCAGCUGGCCCAUGAAACAGCCCUUUCAGCUCCACCUCUGAAUGGCAGUUCUAUGGGCUCCUCGGAAGAACACAGGCGCCUUCUCUGUGUCACUUCUCCGCUCAUUAGCAGAGCUGCAGAAAUACACUACAGGACUCAAAAUUGAGAACAGUGUGUCCGGUAUGAGCCAGAAGGAAAAAAAAAUGCACGAAGGGGCCUUCUGCAAGGUUGCUCACAAGUCAAACAGGCAGCUGUGAAGGGCUCUGCUGUUCCCUCCUCCUGUUUUCACAUCCCUCGGGCUUCCAGAAACUUAAAGCCGUUAGUGUUUCAUGCAAGAGAGAGCAUCUGUGAUCCACGGAGAGGCCCCUGGGCAGUGUGGUUCAGUGGGAAGCACACAGGACUCCCUCCCCAGUGCUCCCAGGAUCAGCUCUUUCCCUAAAGAGCAAACCUGGUUAUCUCGCAAUGACCUAGCUAACACAAAUGCAACAUCAGCCGGGGCAGCCUGCCCCCUUCACUCUUUGCCCACCAUCAGCUGUUUGGCAGUAUCCAUAUACGCCUUUACCAGUAUUUAUUUAAUCUUUUUGUUUAAUUCACUCUAAACCAACUCACUUCUUAAAAAUUUCUCUGCCUUAUAAGAAAUAAUAGCCAUGAAAUCACUGGUUUGAUGUACGGUUUAUUUAUUUAUUCCAAUAAACACUCAUUCAAUAUAAAAUUCAAAUAAAUUCAAAACUAAUUAAAUUUAGCUUUUUCAUCCACAUAUCACUGAAAAUUUUCUUGUUUUCUGCCAGUGGCAUGCACGACAGACUUUGAGGAAUCCUGUGAAGUGAAACGGCUUUAGAAUCAAAGAGAGCUGGGCUUGAGUCCCCCUCUGUCACAGGCCAGCCAUGGUGACUUCCGGGAAAUGUGAAACCCUGAAGCUCAGACUCUGAAGGAAACUCAAAGGUCAUCUACACCUGGCCACCCAUGCUACUCACCUGGUUGUUAAAAAUACAAGGUCCACCCCUGCUACGUGCCUUCUCGGGGCCAGAGGGUCAGCCCUCACCCCAGGAGCGACUGCGAGAGCUUCCCACGGGGAAUGGCCCCUGUAAUCAAUCACACUGGAAGAAGAAAUGAGCAUCUGGAGGAGCGGGCUCAGGUUUAGCACUGGGAACUCUAGCUGGCCCAGUUAAUGCCCCAACCCAUGGCCCUUCAGCCCACUGUGGGUUCAGCUCACCUACAGCUGCAGGCAGUUCCCAGGGACGCAAGCAGUGGGCCAGGCAGCCUGGGGAUUUAACAUCCCCAGGUAUAACCCGCAACCUGCAGGGAUCAGAAGACCCCAACGUCCCCAUCCCCCAUUGAACAGUUCUGAGACACGCUCCUCGCCGUUCCUCAGAAGGUCCCCAGCAGGAGUGAGCCGCGGUUGCCCACAGAGGUGACCAGCUUAUUCAUGCACAUUGUAUUGGCUUUUAUCCUGUCCCCACCUCACUUCCCCUCACUGUAUUUCCUGGGAUCACCUCCCAAAUAAGCUACCUGCACCCAAGUCCUUUUCUCAGGAUACCCGGUCACAUCUCCAGGCCUUGGCCCAGCUGUUUUCCAGCCUCGCAUGUCCUCCCAGCACAUAGAGCAGAGGAAGCAGCAGGCGAGUGUUCUGUUCGACUAUCUGGGCCACUGAGAUGGCAGCAAAAUUGUUUCCCAGGUGGAUGUUGUUUAUUUAUUUAGAACUGUGGCUCCCUCGUGCCAGCAGCUCUCUGCUAUGCCCACUGACCAUCGGCGUGCUCUUGGUGGCUAAUUAGGGAGACUUCUUCCUGGGACCCGGGAGACAGACUGGAAUGUGAGCACUGGUUCCCAGAGAGCCCAUCCGGGAGGGCAGCGGGCAAGGCCUGUGGCUGCAGAGACACACAGUGGCUGCUGCUUAUACCCUCCGCAGAGGCCCUGCUGCCACCCAAAGACCCAAGGAGAACCCGAGGGUGGGUCCUGCCCCUGACUUCCUUUAACCUGACUGCUUUUCUUGACACUUAAACGGUUUCAUUGCAAAUUGGAGACACUGCCAGAGUACCGGAUUGGACAUGAAUCUCUGGUCUUCCCAAAAGUCAGGCAGAGAUGUGGAGGGGCCCACAGUCACAGGGCAGAUUCCUCACCUGCAAAGUGGCCAUGCUCAUCGCCCCAUCCAGGAGCCUGCAGUGCAGCUGGGCUGCUCCUCCUGCCCAGGCCCCAUUCGGGCCACAGACCCCAUGAUCUGAGGUGUCACAUGUGGUUCAUGACACCUCCCAUGUGCUAUCUUGGUCUCAGGCCCCACGCAUGGUCAGCCAAACUGGAAUCCAGGGUGAGGAGGCGUGUGCUUUCAUCUGCCGGCCUGUCUGGGGAGGCCACGGAGCAGCAGCACAUCCUUCUGAUGGGUUAACACCUGGGUGAUACCAGCCCAACCUGAUAUCCCACCCACAUGUCCAAAGAUAGCACUCACAUCUCAACCUGCCUCCCUCCUCGCUCUCCUAAACUCCAGACCUAGAGACCCAGCUGCUUCCUGAGCACCUCCCAUUAUAUGUCCCCCAAGGAAGCGCAAAUCUAGCCCCACCAAAACGCGAUGCAUCCUUUGCCAUCCCCCGUUUCGCAUCCUCUGCUCAGAGCUGGGCACCACCAUCCGAGGGUCCGCAACAUCCAAAAGCUCCCUGCUGCCUCUGAGGCCUCCUGCUUCUGCCAGGGCCCUCCCAAGAGGGCUCAGAGCCUGGAAUAGGAAUUAAAUGAGGGCCUUGUGAGGUAGAAAUUCCCAGAGGAAGGGCGAGGUUACCCAGAAAGGUCUAGAGAGACAAGCUCAGGUCCAUUUGGGUGGACUGAAGUCCAAGCCCAGGUCUGCCCCUUGGCCAAUGCGUGACUGUGGGCAGAGGCAGCCCCUCCCUGAACCUCAGGAAUGAUCACCACCCAGCACCUGCUGCGUGAGGCCACUGGGAGCUUUGUGGAGCCAGCACACUGAAGGGCCCACUCAAUUACGGGGACCCUUCCUGCUACCAUCACAGCUCCCGAGAAACCUGAAGUUGCCCCGCUUAGCACCCCAGGUUUAAUUUUACCAGCUCUUUUUUCCCUCCAAGAGACAACCACUCCAGGCUGCCCUCACCUGCCCAGGCCUGGAAGCAGCCCCCUCUGUCCUGGGGCCGGCUCCUUUCCAGGCAUGAAGCUCAAACAGGCGCUGUCAGUGGGUCCAAACCAUCGCAGCCCCGUCAAAGGACCCCUGUGUGAGCCUCAAACGGGGCAUUGAUAGGGCCUCAGUGAGGGCUGCCCAGGCGAUCGUGGGCUCGCUUGGCUUGGCUAGCCAUGCGGACUUCCCCAAACCCAGCUAUUUCCUGUCCCUCGGGUGGCCCCCUCCCAGCUGCCUGGCCACAGGGCACAAUCCCACUACACAGCUCAGCCUGUUCUUCGGCUCCAGGCCAGAGGUGGGAGUCGGGGAAGGCGGGAAGGACGGGAGAGUCGCGCCGGGAAGUUCAGGGCCUCCUGGUCCUUGUGACACACGCAGCCAUGGCCCUUCAAUCUCCUUGUGAUAGGAUGCAAGGCUGGGCCAAUGUCUCUCCUCCCGUGACCUCUGCUCCCAAUCCACACUUGCCGGGGCUUCUCAGCGGGCCCUCUUCCCAUGGGUCUUUGCAAGAAGCAACAACUGACACAGACUGGGCCCCAGCCCGUCUAAAAGCCUCCACUCGGAGUAGAAAAAAAAGGUGCUUGGUCUCAUCUCUGACCACUGUGUGGCCUCAGGAAAGUCACUUGAUGUCUCUGGGCCUCUGCCCUCAAGUGUGAACAGGAGCUCGCUUUCCAUUUCUGUGAAUUACACUGCACCAACUGCUUGGGGGUCUGAUAAGGAGCAAAUAACAUCCAUGAAGAAAUCUGCCAUUCCACAAAAAAACUGACACCACCAGAAGGUUGACAAUGCCUCUCAAACUCAUCCCCGUCCCUGCCGCCCCAUAGGAUGACUUCCCCAGCCUUUGUAGGGGUCCCUGCAUUUGGGCUCUUCCUUCCUAAAACCCAAACCUUGUAACUCCUUGGCCCAAAAUCCUUCAAAGACACCUGUCUCAGGAUUAGUCCAUGUUCCUCGGUGUGACAUUCAAGGCUCUGAGGGCUCUUUUGGUAUUGGUGACAGAUCCCAAUUCAAACAGCCCUGGUCUCUUUAUUAACUUUACUUUCAGGUAAGUCCUCAACAGCUCAGCCACACCGGGGAGAAAAGAUAAGAGAUGGAGAAACAGAGAGACAUUAUUAAAGAGUUGUAGUCCUGGAUCCUGCCAUACCUGAAGCCAAAAAUCCCUGGAUUUUUUAUUUGUAUGAGAGCCAAGAAACAUCGUGAACCACCUUCUGGUUUCUCAUAAUAAACUUGGCUCAUAAGGCUUCUGUUACUUGCAACCAUGUCCUUCCUGUAAAUUCCCUUCUUGGCUGAACUUAGCCAGGGUGAGCUUGCACCUAAAGAGCCCCACUGUGUGCAAACACUCUUCCUGACCCAGCCCCACAGCGGGCCGACCUCUUCUCCCUCCCCUCCCCACUUGCAGCCACGCUGAGCAGCUCGCCCCAGCUCCUCUCCCCAAUGCCAUAGAGUCUUUGCGUGUCCUGCUACCUAGACCUAGAGCACCCUUCCCAUUCUGCUUACUGCUGCCUUCUCAUCCUUCAGACUCCACUUGGUGACAGCCUCCAAGAGGCUUUCUCUGGCCCUCAGGCCACGUCUGAGGUCCCCUAGGCUUUCCCUAUCGUGGCAGCCCUUUUGCAGAUCUGUCCCUCCUACCGCAGACUGGGGGGAACUGGAGGCGAGUCUCAUCUGUUGAGGUCUUCCCCAGUGUCCAGAGCAGGACCCAG